Long non-coding RNA from Cyprinus carpio carpio, 1782 nucleotides. The record is from Ensembl. NCBI's taxonomy places the organism in Eukaryota, Metazoa, Chordata, Actinopteri, Cypriniformes, Cyprinidae.
CAAGGGGACAUAAUUAAAUGAUUUCCUUGUGAUAUUCAUUACUGCCAAAGUUUUUGCAGAGCAGGCAACACUAGUUGAUGAGUAGAGUUGAGUAGAGUGGUCACCUGAAAGAACAACAUAAAGACAGGUUGAGAAAAGCACUGCAGAAAUCACAUCAGUGACACGCUCAGUCCCUUGAGUGUAGGCAUCCUGUGUCGCCGCAGUCUUUUUGGUCAGGUGUGUUUCCACCUGUACUGGCUGUGGUGAAACUCAGUCUGUAGAAUUACUUGAUGUAUCAGGUCCGUUGAGUUGAUCAAGCAUGAGUUGAAAGUGUCCUUCUACUCUGGGGAAACAUCUGUGUCCAGUGCCGUCCUCCCCAGGAUGUUUUUCUGACCUGCUGAGAAGCUUUCUGUCACCUUCAGGCAGAAGGUGGGAUUGCAGGGUUUGUCAGAUCUCCAUAGGUGAAGAAAUAAUUUCACUGAUGAUGCUCCAAUGUGUGCAAGACAUCUAAACAACUUCUGAAUGACCAUGCAAUAACUGUACACUGAUGACUUUGGUGAUGUUGUGGGAUGAGAAAAGAGGUUAUAAAAUAAACAAAAAUACACAAAGGAACGAUCAUGUCAAAAGUGCGAGUGGUAAAUAAGGUCUCCAUUUUUCAGAGUCAAAUAUUCAGUAAAUAGGUCUAAUUUGAUAGCCAAAUUGUUUACUACCACUAGGUAUUUGGUCUGAAUGAAUAAAAGGGAAGUAGCAAAAUCAAUAUAACCGGUAUAUUUACCAGUGGUAUUCAUAAUUAAACAUAUCACAUAAUUAAACAUAGAAAUACACAAUUUCAUAAUUACCAUCAUAAAAUUGCCUAUAGUGAUUGUUUUAAUAGCAAAACAUUAAUGCAGACCUAAAGUUUCAUCAAGGUCAAUCAGAGAAUGAAAUGAACAGAAAAAGAGAUUUAAAACCUGUAGUUAAACCAUUUUCAAUCAUUCUCUGUGCAUUUGAUGUGCAGGCUGGUCACACUUGAUAAUGCAGGUCUGAUUAGAAAUGAUCAGAUCCUAUUUAUUUAGGUAAAUUUGUGCGGUCAUUAGACAUAUGUUGUAAACUAGUGGGCCCCCUAGUUUGCAACAAUGCUAAUGAUUGGACAUGAAAAAUAUUCUGUCCUAAGAGACCAAUUGCAUUACUGAAUAGGUCUCAUUUUAGAAUUUGUAAUAGAAUUUGAAUUAAUUGAUAUGUGACUGUAGCCAUGCAAGUCCUAUGCACAUUACAGUGUUUACAUACAGUAAGUUCAUAAGACCAUAAAAAUUGCACAAAAUUUUUAAAAUUGCAAAAAUGUUUGCCAUAAUUGAAAUUAAAAAAUAAUUUAUUUUGACCUAUAUGUAUGAGGUGAAUAAUGUGUGAUCAAUUUGAAUGAUGUGAGUAAUUUAGACCUGGAUGUCCGUAUGCUCAAUACCAGGUACGUGUAUUGUGUAGUUGCAAUAAUGAAAGUGUGUUUUGUAUGUUUGUAUGUAUGUAUGUGUAUAGGAGAUGGGUGAUGUCUAGUCUACCAUAAUUUGUGUUGUAUAAUUUAGUUCCAGUGCUACACUGGGAGGUCAUGUAAUUACUUGUACAGUGCUAAGGUGUGAAUGACCACUUGUAGUAUCUCCACACCCAUCUCCUUGUUGUGUGUGCAAGUUGGUGUAGGUGGGACCAGAUGUCCUUGUGGAAUUUUUCCCUCAGAGAUGGCAGCAGUAAACCUGAAAGAAAAACAGCUUAGUCUUGAACCUUUUUACGAGUUGCUUGAAGACUGGUGGAUCUUAAUUUUCCUGUAAUGGCCAC